RNAcentral lists this ribosomal RNA (393 nucleotides) under Bacillus pumilus. RNAcentral describes it as "bacterial SSU rRNA". It matches the Rfam family "Bacterial small subunit ribosomal RNA", at positions 974 to 1368 of the family's 1533-position model. Lineage: Bacteria; Bacillati; Bacillota; Bacilli; Caryophanales; Bacillaceae. The record is from RNAcentral.
CCAGGUCUUGACAUCCUCUGACAACCCUAGAGAUAGGGCUUUCCCUUCGGGGACAGAGUGACAGGUGGUGCAUGGUUGUCGUCAGCUCGUGUCGUGAGAUGUUGGGUUAAGUCCCGCAACGAGCGCAACCCUUGAUCUUAGUUGCCAGCAUUCAGUUGGGCACUCUAAGGUGACUGCCGGUGACAAACCGGAGGAAGGUGGGGAUGACGUCAAAUCAUCAUGCCCCUUAUGACCUGGGCUACACACGUGCUACAAUGGACAGAACAAAGGGCUGCGAGACCGCAAGGUUUAGCCAAUCCCAUAAAUCUGUUCUCAGUUCGGAUCGCAGUCUGCAACUCGACUGCGUGAAGCUGGAAUCGCUAGUAAUCGCGGAUCAGCAUGCCGCGGUGAAUA